This 148-nucleotide small RNA is filed under the name Pongo abelii (Sumatran orangutan). RNAcentral describes it as "Metazoan signal recognition particle RNA (ENSPPYG00000031166.1)". Lineage: Eukaryota; Metazoa; Chordata; Mammalia; Primates; Hominidae. The record is from Rfam by way of RNAcentral.
GCUGGGCACGGUGGUGCAUGCCUGUAAUCCCAGCUACUUGGGAGGCUGAGGCAGGGGAAUUGCUUGAACCCGGGUGGUGGAGGUUGCAGUGAGCCGAGAUUGUGCCACUGUACUCCAGCCUGGGUGACAGAGCGAGACUCUGUCUCAA